RNAcentral lists this ribosomal RNA (1054 nucleotides) under Lactiplantibacillus plantarum. Its description in RNAcentral is "bacterial SSU rRNA". It matches the Rfam family "Bacterial small subunit ribosomal RNA", at positions 401 to 1448 of the family's 1533-position model. The record is from RNAcentral. Lineage: Bacteria; Bacillati; Bacillota; Bacilli; Lactobacillales; Lactobacillaceae.
GAGUGAAGAAGGGUUUCGGCUCGUAAAACUCUGUUGUUAAAGAAGAACAUAUCUGAGAGUAACUGUUCAGGUAUUGACGGUAUUUAACCAGAAAGCCACGGCUAACUACGUGCCAGCAGCCGCGGUAAUACGUAGGUGGCAAGCGUUGUCCGGAUUUAUUGGGCGUAAAGCGAGCGCAGGCGGUUUUUUAAGUCUGAUGUGAAAGCCUUCGGCUCAACCGAAGAAGUGCAUCGGAAACUGGGAAACUUGAGUGCAGAAGAGGACAGUGGAACUCCAUGUGUAGCGGUGAAAUGCGUAGAUAUAUGGAAGAACACCAGUGGCGAAGGCGGCUGUCUGGUCUGUAACUGACGCUGAGGCUCGAAAGUAUGGGUAGCAAACAGGAUUAGAUACCCUGGUAGUCCAUACCGUAAACGAUGAAUGCUAAGUGUUGGAGGGUUUCCGCCCUUCAGUGCUGCAGCUAACGCAUUAAGCAUUCCGCCUGGGGAGUACGGCCGCAAGGCUGAAACUCAAAGGAAUUGACGGGGGCCCGCACAAGCGGUGGAGCAUGUGGUUUAAUUCGAAGCUACGCGAAGAACCUUACCAGGUCUUGACAUACUAUGCAAAUCUAAGAGAUUAGACGUUCCCUUCGGGGACAUGGAUACAGGUGGUGCAUGGUUGUCGUCAGCUCGUGUCGUGAGAUGUUGGGUUAAGUCCCGCAACGAGCGCAACCCUUAUUAUCAGUUGCCAGCAUUAAGUUGGGCACUCUGGUGAGACUGCCGGUGACAAACCGGAGGAAGGUGGGGAUGACGUCAAAUCAUCAUGCCCCUUAUGACCUGGGCUACACACGUGCUACAAUGGAUGGUACAACGAGUUGCGAACUCGCGAGAGUAAGCUAAUCUCUUAAAGCCAUUCUCAGUUCGGAUUGUAGGCUGCAACUCGCCUACAUGAAGUCGGAAUCGCUAGUAAUCGCGGAUCAGCAUGCCGCGGUGAAUACGUUCCCGGGCCUUGUACACACCGCCCGUCACACCAUGAGAGUUUGUAACACCCCAAAGUCGGUGGGGUAACCUUUUAGGAA